This 460-nucleotide ribosomal RNA is filed under the name uncultured bacterium. Its description in RNAcentral is "partial 16S ribosomal RNA". It matches the Rfam family "Bacterial small subunit ribosomal RNA", at positions 338 to 795 of the family's 1533-position model. The record is from RNAcentral.
CCUACGGGAGGCAGCAGUGAGGAAUAUUGGUCAAUGGACGAGAGUCUGAACCAGCCAAGUAGCGUGAAGGAUGACUGCCCUAUGGGUUGUAAACUUCUUUUAUAUGGGAAUAAAACGUUCCACGUGUGGGAUUUUGUAUGUACCAUAUGAAUAAGGAUCGGCUAACUCCGUGCCAGCAGCCGCGGUAAUACGGAGGAUCCGAGCGUUAUCCGGAUUUAUUGGGUUUAAAGGGAGCGUAGGUGGAUUGUUAAGUCAGUUGUGAAAGUUUGCGGCUCAACCGUAAAAUUGCAGUUGAAACGGGCAGUCUUGAGUACAGUAGAGGUGGGCGGAAUUCGUGGUGUAGCGGUGAAAUGCUUAGAUAUCACGAAGAACUCCGAUUGCGAAGGCAGUUCACUGGACUGCAACUGACACUGAGGCUCGAAAGUGUGGGUAUCAAACAGGAUUAGAUACCCCGGUAGUC